UACGAAAGGUGCAAGCGUUACUCGGAAUCACUGGGCGUAAAGCGCACGUAGGCGGACUUACAGGUCAAUUGUGAAAUACCUGAGCUCAACUCAGGAACUGCAGUUGAAACCGUUUGUCUUGAAUACCUGAGAGGGUGGGGGAAUACCUGGUGGAGAAGUGAAAUUCGUAGAGAUCAGGUGGAACACCGGAGGCGAAGGCGCCUGCCUGGCAGUGUAUUGACGCUGAGGUGCGAAAGUGCGGGGAGCAAACAGGAUUAGAUACCCUGGUAGUCCGCACCGUAAACGAUGGAUACUAGGCGUUCGGAGAGUUAACCCUCUGAGUGCCAAAGUUCACACAUUAAGUAUCCCGCCUGGGAAGUACGGUCGCAAGACUAAA
Molecule: ribosomal RNA, 376 nt
Filed under: uncultured bacterium
Lineage: Bacteria
Description: bacterial SSU rRNA
Rfam family: Bacterial small subunit ribosomal RNA
Source: RNAcentral